RNAcentral lists this ribosomal RNA (500 nucleotides) under uncultured bacterium. Its description in RNAcentral is "bacterial SSU rRNA". It matches the Rfam family "Bacterial small subunit ribosomal RNA", at positions 28 to 521 of the family's 1533-position model. The record is from RNAcentral.
GACGAACGCUGGCGGCGUGGAUUAGGCAUGCAAGUCGAACGGUAUCAUCCUUUCGGGGGUGAGAGAGUGGCGAACUGGUGAGUAACACGUAGGUUAUCUACCCUCAAGACGGGGACAACCCAGGGAAACUUGGGCUAAUACCGGAUGUGAGCAACUUUUAGUUGUUUGAAAGGUGGCGUAAGCUGUCGCUUGGGGAUGAGCCUGCGUCCUAUUAGUUAGUUGGUGAGGUAACGGCUCACCUAGGCAAUGAUAGGUAGGCGGCCUUAACGGGUGGUCGCCCACACUGGGAUUGAGAUACGGCCCAGACUCCUACGGGAGGCAGCAGUCGAGAAUAGUCUACAAUGGUCGGAAGACUGAUAGUGCGACGCCGCGUGAACGAUGAAUCCCUUCGGGGUGUAAAGUUCUUUUAUAUGUGAGCAGUGCUUCUUAUAUUAACAGUAUGGGGAAGAGAUAUUAGCAUAUGAAUAAGCAACGGCUAACUCCGUGCCAGCAGCCGCGGU